GAUUCCCCUAGUAACGGCGAGUGAAGAGGGAAAAGCCCAAAUUUGUAAUCUGGCCUUUCUUGAAAGGGUCCGAAUUGUAAUUUUGAGAACUGUUUUCUGUGCUGGACCAUGUACAAGUCUGUUGAAAAACAGCAUCAUUGAGGGUGAAAAUCCCGUAGAUGAUAUGGACUACCAGGGCAAUAUGAUACAGUCUCUAAGAGUCGAGUUGUUUGGGAAUGCAGCUCAAAGUGGGUGGUAAAUUCCAUCUAAGGCUAAAUAUAGGUGAGAGACCGAUAGCAAACAAGUACCGUGAGGGAAAGAUGAAAAGAACUUUGGAAAGAGAGUUAACAGUACGUGAAAUUGUUAAAAGGGAAACAUUUGAAGUUAGACUUGUUAUUGUUGGAUCAGCUUCUUUAUUGAGGUGUAUUCUGAUGAUUAACAGACCAGCAUCAAUUUUUGAGUGCCGGAAAAAGGUAUUGGGAAUGUAGCAUCCUCUGGUUGUGUUAUAGACCUUUACUUCAGAAUACGGUGCUUAGGAUUGAGGAACGCGGUAAGCUUUGUUGCAGAACCUUGUUAAACACAGGGGUCUCCUUACUACGGAUGUUGGUGCAAUAGCUUUAAAUGACCCGUCUUGAAACACGGAC
RNAcentral lists this ribosomal RNA (623 nucleotides) under Pucciniastrum epilobii. RNAcentral's name for it is "eukaryotic LSU rRNA". It matches the Rfam family "Eukaryotic large subunit ribosomal RNA", at positions 73 to 666 of the family's 3401-position model. The record is from RNAcentral. Lineage: Eukaryota; Fungi; Basidiomycota; Pucciniomycetes; Pucciniales; Pucciniastraceae.